RNAcentral lists this ribosomal RNA (460 nucleotides) under uncultured bacterium. RNAcentral describes it as "partial 16S ribosomal RNA". It matches the Rfam family "Bacterial small subunit ribosomal RNA", at positions 338 to 795 of the family's 1533-position model. The record is from RNAcentral.
CCUACGGGUGGCAGCAGUGAGGAAUAUUGGUCAAUGGGCGUAAGCCUGAACCAGCCAAGUCGCGUGAGGGAUGACGGCUCUACGGAUCGUAAACUUCUUUUAUAAGGGAAUAAAGUGCGGGACGUGUGCCGUUUUGUAUGUACUUUAUGAAUAAGGAUCGGCUAACUCCGUGCCAGCAGCCGCGGUAAUACGGAGGAUCCGAGCGUUAUCCGGAUUUAUUGGGUUUAAAGGGUGCGUAGGUGGGCUGUUAAGUCAGUUGUGAAAGUUUGUGGCUCAACCAUAGAAUUGCAGUUGAAACUGGGAGGCUUGAGUAUGUUUGAGGCAGGCGGAAUGCGUGGUGUAGCGGUGAAAUGCUUAGAUAUCACGAAGAACCCCGAUUGCGAAGGCAGCUUGCCAAGCCAUGACUGACGCUGAUGCACGAAAGCGUGGGGAUCAAACAGGAUUAGAUACCCUUGUAGUC